Molecule: non-coding RNA, 75 nt
Organism: Myotis davidii
Lineage: Eukaryota; Metazoa; Chordata; Mammalia; Chiroptera; Vespertilionidae
Source: Rfam
GGCAGUUCUUGGGUGAUGCACCCCAGAAUCAGGCUCCCUCCUCUCUGGUUCCAGGUGCGUCAUCCAAGAACCGCA